Molecule: ribosomal RNA, 316 nt
Filed under: uncultured bacterium
Lineage: Bacteria
Description: bacterial SSU rRNA
Rfam family: Bacterial small subunit ribosomal RNA
Source: RNAcentral
GACGAACGCUGGCGGCGUGCCUAAUACAUGCAAGUAGAACGCUGACUACUUUAGCUUGCUAGAGUAGAAGGAGUUGCGAACGGGUGAGUAACGCGUAGGUAACCUGCCUACUAGCGGGGGAUAACUAUUGGAAACGAUAGCUAAUACCGCAUAACAGUGUUUAACACAUGUUAGAUGCUUGAAAGAUGCAAUUGCAUCACUAGUAGAUGGACCUGCGUUGUAUUAGCUAGUUGGUGGGGUAACGGCCCACCAAGGCGACGAUACAUAGCCGACCUGAGAGGGUGAUCGGCCACAUUGGAACUGAGACACGGUCCAA